This 605-nucleotide ribosomal RNA is filed under the name Pontibacillus chungwhensis. Its description in RNAcentral is "bacterial SSU rRNA". It matches the Rfam family "Bacterial small subunit ribosomal RNA", at positions 155 to 746 of the family's 1533-position model. Lineage: Bacteria; Bacillati; Bacillota; Bacilli; Caryophanales; Bacillaceae. The record is from RNAcentral.
AACCGGAGCUAAUACCGAAUAACCCAGUGAACUGCAUGGUUCACUGGUAAAAGGCGGUUUCGGCCGUCACUCAUGGAUGGGCCCGCGGCGCAUUAGCUAGUUGGUAAGGUAACGGCUUACCAAGGCAACGAUGCGUAGCCGACCUGAGAGGGUGAUCGGCCACACUGGGACUGAGACACGGCCCAGACUCCUACGGGAGGCAGCAGUAGGGAAUCUUCCGCAAUGGACGAAAGUCUGACGGAGCAACGCCGCGUGAACGAUGAAGGUCUUCGGAUCGUAAAGUUCUGUUGUUAGGGAAGAACAAGUACCAGAGGAAAUGCUGGUACCUUGACGGUACCUAACCAGAAAGCCACGGCUAACUACGUGCCAGCAGCCGCGGUAAUACGUAGGUGGCAAGCGUUGUCCGGAAUUAUUGGGCGUAAAGCGCGCGCAGGCGGUUUCUUAAGUCUGAUGUGAAAGCCCACAGCUCAACUGUGGAGGGCCAUUGGAAACUGGGGAACUUGAGUACAGAAGAGGAGAGUGGAAUUCCACGUGUAGCGGUGAAAUGCGUAGAUAUGUGGAGGAACACCAGUGGCGAAGGCGACUCUCUGGUCUGUAACUGACGC